Molecule: ribosomal RNA, 377 nt
Filed under: uncultured bacterium
Lineage: Bacteria
Description: bacterial SSU rRNA
Rfam family: Bacterial small subunit ribosomal RNA
Source: RNAcentral
UAAUACAUAGACCUCGAGCGUUAUCCGGAUUUACUGGGCGUAAAGCGUGCGUAGGUGUCUUUUUAAGUCUCUGGUGAAAUCUCCGGGCUCAACUCGGAAACUGUCAGAGAAACUGGAAGGAUUGAGUGCGACAGAGGCAGACGGAAUUCUCAGUGUAGCGGUAAAAUGCGUAGAUAUUGAGAAGAACACCGAUGGCGAAGGCAGUCUGCUGGGUCGAUACUGACACUGAGGUACGAAAGCGUGGGUAGCGAACGGGAUUAGAUACCCCGGUAGUCCACGCCGUAAACGAUGGGUACUAGGUAUCUGGGGCAUAGACCCCCUGGGUAUCGUAGCUAACGCGUUAAGUACCCCGCCUGGGGAGUACGGUCGCAAGACUA